RNAcentral lists this ribosomal RNA (301 nucleotides) under uncultured bacterium. RNAcentral's name for it is "partial 16S ribosomal RNA". It matches the Rfam family "Bacterial small subunit ribosomal RNA", at positions 509 to 808 of the family's 1533-position model. The record is from RNAcentral.
CAGUCGCCGCGGUAAUACAGAGGGUGCGAGCGUUAAUCGGAUUUACUGGGCGUAAAGCGUGCGUAGGCGGCUUCUUAAGUCGGAUGUGAAAUCCCUGAGCUUAACUUAGGAAUUGCAUUCGAUACUGGGAAGCUAGAGUAUGGGAGAGGAUGGUAGAAUUCCAGGUGUAGCGGUGAAAUGCGUAGAGAUCUGGAGGAAUACCGAUGGCGAAGGCAGCCAUCUGGCCUAAUACUGACGCUGAGGUACGAAAGCAUGGGGAGCAAACAGGAUUAGAUACCGUGUAGUCCCUGUCUCUUAUACC